Molecule: ribosomal RNA, 305 nt
Filed under: uncultured bacterium
Lineage: Bacteria
Description: bacterial SSU rRNA
Rfam family: Bacterial small subunit ribosomal RNA
Source: RNAcentral
AUUUCCUACGGGGGGCAGCAGUGAGGAAUAUUGGUCAAUGGUCGGGAGACUGAACCAGCCAAGCCGCGUGAGGGAGGAAGGUACAGAGUAUCGUAAACCUCUUUUGUCGGGGAGCAAGGCCCGCCACGUGUGGCGGGAAGGAGAGUACCCGAAGAAAAAGCAUCGGCUAACUCCGUGCCAGCAGCCGCGGUAAUACGGAGGAUGCGAGCGUUAUCCGGAUUUAUUGGGGUUAAAGGGUGCGUAGGCGGAAGGUUAAGUCAGCGGUCAAAUGUCGGUGCUCAACACCGGCCUGCCGGUGGAACUGG